AUGAUAAAUACCUCAGUGCACAUGGACUAUCGCUUCAGUUCCCUCAAGAAUUUUGUGGUGAAAGAAGCUCCUCUCCAAGGAACGAAGAUGCAGAGAAUCAACACUCAACAGGCAUUGGAAAUGAUCCUGAAUGAAGCAAACCCUUGCGACUCGGAUGGAGAAGACAUCAACCUUCAGAUGGAUUCAGACUCCGAGCUGUCUCAGUCGUCUUCAGAUGAGGAGACUGCUCCCCAACCAAAAAAGAGAGCACGGCUGGGGACUGAUGUGACAGAGACUGCGAAAGACGGCACAGUAUGGCAUGAAGAACAGGUGGGAACGGGUCCACAUUUCACCCCGCCAUCGCCAUACAACGCAGAUGGAGAGCCAACAGCUAAGGCCAGGAGGUCAAUCACAAGUCGUCUUCAGAGCUUCCUGUGUUUCAUCACUCUGGACAUGCUUGGUAUCAUUCAAGACUGUACAGUUCAACAUGCAAAGCAAACGGAGCAUGUGGAUUGGUUCAUGGGCCUCCCUGAACUAAUGCCAUUUAUUUCCAUCACCAUCAUGCGGGCAAUCUUCAGGGUGCCAUCACUGCGUGACUGCUGGUCGAAAAACCUGGGAAGCCCACAGAUCAUCGAAACCAUGUCCCGAGGGCGUUUUCCAAAACAUCAUGCAUCACCUGCGCUUUGAUGACAGAGACACCCGCAGCGAGCGAGCACAGACCGAUAAGUUUGCUGCAAUUUCGAACAUAUGGGGAUUGUUUGUCACCAACUGCAUCACAUCCUACAUCCCUGGUCAACACAUCACCAUCGACGAACAACUUUUCCCGUCCAAGACUCGCUGCUGUUUCCUACAGUACACUGCAUCUAAACCAGACAAGUUUGGGAUCAAGUUUUGGGUGGCGUGUGACUUGAAAAACAAAUACGUCUGCAAUAUCCUCCCAUAUCUUGGCAAGGACCCCACUCGGCCUCGUGGGGAGAGAGUGUCUGAGAGUGUAGUCAUGAGGCUGAUGGAACCAUUCCUGGACAAGGGCAGAAAUGUUACCACGGACAAUUUCUUUACAUCACUGUCACUUGCAAAACGACUACUUAGCCGGAAUACAACCAUCCUUGGCACAGUCAACAAGAUUCGCUAAGAAAUUCCACUGUCAACUAGACAGAUGCACUGCAAUGAAUUUACCACCCAAGUAUUUUCAACCACUGGUGCCACACUGACGGUGUAUGCGCCCAAGCGGAAGAAGACUGUAUAUGUUCUCAGCAGCAUGCACAGCAUGAUUCAGACACAGGAUACCACCAAAAAGAAGCCAAACACCAUCACACUCUACAACACAACAAAGUGCGGCGUCGAUGUCAUGGACCAGACGGUGCGAGAGUACACUGUCCGCGCAGGAACACGGUGCUGGCCAGUAGCAGUGUUCUAUAACAUGAUAGAUAUGGCAGCACUGAAUGCACACGUGCUCUAUCAAUUAUGCACUGGGAGGCAGGAGAGACGGGUGGAUUUCCUGCUGGAGCUUGCAAGAGAGUUGGCUCAAACCCACGUGGGUAUGAAAAAGGCCCAAAAGGAACAAUUAUUUCGGCAACAACCCUCCACACCACAACUAGGAAAAAGAGCAAAGUGUCAGGCUAAAAUUAAAUGUAAGGACAAUCAUGCAACAGUGCGCUGUGUUGACUGCUACCGAUAUACAUGUGGGAAAUGCCGAAAGGAGCAAUGGCAGUGCCAGGAUUGUGAGUGACUGCUCAAAUGUAUUUCACUCAUAAUGCAUGGUUUUUCAUUCUUUGUAAAUAUGCUUGGGUUUCUUUUUUUUUUACUAAGCCUAAGCCUAACUUUAUACUUUUUUUAGCACAAAAAUAACAAUUAUUUCUGCAACAACCCUCCACACCAAAACUGGGAAAAAGUUGUUUCAUUCUUUGUAAAUAUGUUUUGUUUUUUUAACAAUAAAUGUCAGUGUGUUGAUCCCUUCCUUCCUGUUGAUCCUUUCCACUGCAUACAGCUCAUAGUCCAGUUUAAGUCUUGAUGGCUAUGUUCACUGAGGUAUUUAUCCAUCUCACAACUUAAGCUUGCUCUCAAA
Molecule: long non-coding RNA, 2044 nt
Filed under: Takifugu rubripes (torafugu)
Lineage: Eukaryota; Metazoa; Chordata; Actinopteri; Tetraodontiformes; Tetraodontidae
Description: lncRNA (ENSTRUG00000031870.1)
Source: RNAcentral